RNAcentral lists this ribosomal RNA (349 nucleotides) under uncultured bacterium. Its description in RNAcentral is "partial 16S ribosomal RNA". It matches the Rfam family "Bacterial small subunit ribosomal RNA", at positions 338 to 684 of the family's 1533-position model. The record is from RNAcentral.
CCUACGGGAGGCAGCAGUGAGGAAUAUUGGUCAAUGGACGAGAGUCUGAACCAGCCAAGUAGCGUGAAGGAUGACGGCCCUAUGGGUGGUAAACUUCUUUUAUAGGGGAAUAAAAUGUGACACGUGUGGGAUUUUGUAUGUACCAUAUGAAUAAGGAUCGGCUAACUCCGUGCCAGCAGCCGAGGUAAUACGGAGGAUCCGAGCGUUAUCCGGCUGUAUUGGGGUUAUAGGGAGCGUAGGUGGAUUGUUAAGUCAGUUGUGACAGGUUGCGGCUCAACCGUAAAAUUGCAGUUGAAACUGGCAGUCUUUAGUACAGUAUAGGUGGGCGGUAUUCCUGGUGUAGCGGUGA